AAAAGAUGGGUCCAGGGGCACGCGGCGGCUUCAGGUGCGAGGGGCGGUGCCGGUCGGUGCGGGGCUGCAACAGGGGCGUCACUGGUGGCCAUGGCAGCCGCUGCAGGUGCUGCUACCGGAACUUGGCCGACUCGGCCACCUAACCACCGAUAGCAAGCGUCCAAGGGAGUGUGCGGCGCGAGGAUGAGCUGGCGCACAGGAUCAAGCGUCUUUGGCAUCUCUACUUUUGUGAUUGACACUGAACUGAAACAU
This 252-nucleotide long non-coding RNA is filed under the name Hordeum vulgare. RNAcentral describes it as "long non-coding RNA (HVUL_LNC009384)". Lineage: Eukaryota; Viridiplantae; Streptophyta; Magnoliopsida; Poales; Poaceae. The record is from RNAcentral.